Molecule: transfer RNA, 86 nt
Filed under: Nematostella vectensis (starlet sea anemone)
Lineage: Eukaryota; Metazoa; Cnidaria; Anthozoa; Actiniaria; Edwardsiidae
Rfam family: tRNA
About the family: Transfer RNA (tRNA) molecules are approximately 80 nucleotides in length. Their secondary structure includes four short double-helical elements and three loops (D, anti-codon, and T loops).
Source: Rfam by way of RNAcentral
CAUGCGAUAGCUCAGUUGGUAGAGCGGGGGACUGUAGAUUUAUAAUUGUGAUCCCUAGGUCGCUGGUUCGAAUCCGGCUCGAAGGA